This 76-nucleotide transfer RNA is filed under the name Dietzia sp. ANT_WB102. RNAcentral describes it as "tRNA-Arg". It matches the Rfam family "tRNA". Rfam says of the family: Transfer RNA (tRNA) molecules are approximately 80 nucleotides in length. Their secondary structure includes four short double-helical elements and three loops (D, anti-codon, and T loops). Lineage: Bacteria; Bacillati; Actinomycetota; Actinomycetes; Mycobacteriales; Dietziaceae. The record is from RNAcentral.
GCCCUCGUAGCUCAGGGGAUAGAGCGUUGGUUUCCGGUACCAAAGGUCAGGGGUUCGAUUCCCUUCGGGGGCACUA